RNAcentral lists this long non-coding RNA (213 nucleotides) under Carica papaya (papaya). RNAcentral's name for it is "long non-coding RNA (CPAP_LNC014597)". Lineage: Eukaryota; Viridiplantae; Streptophyta; Magnoliopsida; Brassicales; Caricaceae. The record is from RNAcentral.
AUUUGAUGACCUUCAUUUUAAACAGCUUAGUGAAGAGAGCAGGGUUGGGCUGGAGAUUUCUUUCUCUGAAGAGGAGGUCCGGGGGUGUCUUGAUGUGUGUAGCAGAGACAAAGCUCCGGGUCUUGAUGGAUUUAAUAUGAAGUUUUUCCAAGUUUUUUGAUAUGUCAUUAAGAAAGAUGUCAUGGCAGUGGUCAACGAUUUCCAUAGAUCAGG